Lagopus leucura (white-tailed ptarmigan) is the source of this 162-nucleotide long non-coding RNA. RefSeq lists it as uncharacterized. NCBI's taxonomy places the organism in Eukaryota, Metazoa, Chordata, Aves, Galliformes, Phasianidae. The record is from RefSeq and is a predicted model, not a curated record. The transcript is spliced from 3 exons.
AACCCAUGGCUCCAACAAGAGUUGCAUGUGAUAUCCCUCCAGGAUGUUUGAUUUCUUGGGCUGUAUCACAGAAAAGAAAGUCAAGAGGAUGAGAGAACAGGAAAAGGAGAGCACUCAGAUAGAAUAAUUCAAUUUUCUACUUUGUGAAGAGAAAAAUCUGUC